This is a long non-coding RNA of Rosa chinensis, 691 nucleotides long. RefSeq lists it as uncharacterized. Lineage: Eukaryota; Viridiplantae; Streptophyta; Magnoliopsida; Rosales; Rosaceae. The record is from RefSeq and is a predicted model, not a curated record. The transcript has 3 exons.
GAAACCCAGGCUCGUUUCUCUCUCUCCUCUCCCCCGAGCUCGGCCGGAAACUGCAAUUCCUUCGCCGGCUUUGUUCUUCCUCCUCCGGCCACCAAAUCACUCCAAACUUCUUCCAUUAGCUUCGCCUCGUCCUUGCGCACCUGUAUGUGGUGGCCUUGCACGGCGGCGCUGCCUGUAACGGCGGUGGUGAGCUCGUUCCGAUUUAAGCUCAAUUUUGGUCAACGACGGUUUUCUCCUAGCUCCGGCCACCAAAACUUCCGAUCCUUGGCUCCAUGAACUCCCCUCAACCUGCUGAUCAUCAUACUAGGAGGAUUGCACCUAGAGUGACCAGUUUCACGUUCGUCGGAGCUCGAAGGAAUCGAGGCCUGAAAUUGAAGUUUUUACGUCGCAAAUCAAACUCGCCGGUUUCUGGAAAUUUUCCGGCCACCUUCAUACGGUUCAAGCGGGAAGUCUUGCAGGUUAGGAGAAUCAGGGCGGUGAUCGUGCGGGUUAGAGUAAUUGUUGUAGUUUUACAGUGAUUGUAAUAGUGAGGUGAGUUAAGUUCAAUUUGAGCUUUACAAUUUACUUUGUAUAGUGAGUUGUAAAAAUUAAUUUGAGGUUUGUAAUUUGAGUGUUUGUGUUCUAGUUGAUUAUUCAUGUUCCGGAUUUGAAAAAAAGUUAUUCAAAAUUCGGGGCGUGACAGGAAUCUAUG